Molecule: long non-coding RNA, 1182 nt
Filed under: Sus scrofa (pig)
Lineage: Eukaryota; Metazoa; Chordata; Mammalia; Artiodactyla; Suidae
Description: lncRNA (ENSSSCG00050057672.1)
Source: RNAcentral
AACGUUAUGGUUCCUAGUCAGAUUCGCUAACCACUGCGCCACGACGGGAACUCCUGAUCUUUUCUAUUUUAAAUUUUAGGGGGGAAAACUAAGUUUUUUUUAGGUACGUUUAUAAAGAUACCUGAUCAAUCUCUUAGCUAUUGGGUACCAAACAUGCUCUGAUGAAGAGUUUUCCAGAACCAGGUUGAACUUGGUUCUCUGAGUUGAGGACGCAUUUGGUGUGAAAGCAGUUUUUGCUCUGUUUGUUUGCCUAAAAGGCUGGAAGAAGAUGUCUCUGAUUGUUUUGCAAUACAUGAACCCAGUGACUUUCCAGGGAGUUGUGGAGGGAUGAAGUUCAGCUGGCAAUCAUUGGCAGACCCCCAGCACCUCUGUUUGGGAGCUGUGACCUUUAAAUGAGUUCCUGAGAUUAAAGUUUAGUCCAGGGUGAGGCCACAUCUAGAGAAUUCUAUUUUUUUGAAUUUAUGAGAGAAAAAAAAAAAAGCCAUGGAAGAGGACACUUGAGAUCUUGGCCGUCAAGACAGGGAGGAGGCCAUUGGGUUUUAUGACAGUUCAGGCCACCAGCUCUGUGGUCAGCCACCGCCAGAGCUGAAUCUCAGUAACCCCAUGUGAUUGCUGUGUCAGUAGAAGCAAUUUAUGGCAUGUCUUCAAGUCUAGGUGUCCUGAUUUAUAACACAGGGUGAUAACCCAUUUCUUACAGUGUUUGCAAAGAUCAAACGGAGCCAUGUACAGAGGACUCUGCCUGGUGUCUGGCCCCCAGGGCAGUGGAUAAGAGACUGCCUGACCUAGAUGACCUGGGACAAGUCGCUCAAGCGGAGUAUUGGAGUUGGCCCAGGCGUGCAGAAGGAGGCAGAGAAGGAAAGAGCAAAGGAAUCUCCGUGUUCCGGAUGUACUUACAUGGAUAUCCUUGGGGGAGCUGGUUUAUAUGCGGCACGUUCCCUACACGAGGAGUUCCAGGAUAUUCACGUAAUAUUCCGCAGUGACCCCAAUCUGUGCUUAAGAAGUAGCCCGGGACACCAGGACUUUACCCCACUGUCUCAGCUGACUGCAGAUGAGAACUGGCUUUGGGAAGGAGCCUCAGAGAGUCCUGUGUGUGGCAGGUUAUCAUUAGCCUUCUCUUCCGGAGAAAUCGCAUUACUGUCAAAUCAGAAUCAUUUUAAGCCUUUAGAUGCUUAUUUGUUCUGA